RNAcentral lists this ribosomal RNA (497 nucleotides) under uncultured bacterium. RNAcentral describes it as "partial 16S ribosomal RNA". It matches the Rfam family "Bacterial small subunit ribosomal RNA", at positions 28 to 507 of the family's 1533-position model. The record is from RNAcentral.
GAUGAACGCUGGCGGCGUGCCUAAUACAUGCAAGUCGAGCGAACAGAUGAGGAGCUUGCUCCUCUGACGUUAGCGGCGGACGGGUGAGUAACACGUGGAUAACCUACCUAUAAGACUGGGAUAACUUCGGGAAACCGGAGCUAAUACCGGAUAAUAUAUUGAACCGCAUGGUUCAAUAGUGAAAGACGGUUUUGCUGUCACUUAUAGAUGGAUCCGCGCCGCAUUAGCUAGUUGGUAAGGUAACGGCUUACCAAGGCGACGAUGCGUAGCCGACCUGAGAGGAUGAUCGGCCACACUGGAACUGAGACACGGUCCAGACUCCUACGGGAGGCAGCAGUAGGGAAUCUUCCGCAAUGGGCGAAAGCCUGACGGAGCAACGCCGCGUGAGUGAUGAAGGUCUUCGGAUCGUAAAACUCUGUUAUUAGGGAAGAACAAAUGUGUAAGUAACUAUGCACGUCUUGACGGUACCUAAUCAGAAAGCCACGGCUAACUACGUG